Molecule: small nuclear RNA, 96 nt
Filed under: Ovis aries (sheep)
Lineage: Eukaryota; Metazoa; Chordata; Mammalia; Artiodactyla; Bovidae
Source: RNAcentral
GUGUUUCCUUUGGUAGUACAUAUAUUAAUAAGUUGGAGAUUCACAUGGCUUCUGCCCAAGGAUAACACACAAAUUUGUGAAGCCUUCCAUAUUUUU